RNAcentral lists this long non-coding RNA (5253 nucleotides) under Homo sapiens (human). RNAcentral's name for it is "HSALNT0369432". Lineage: Eukaryota; Metazoa; Chordata; Mammalia; Primates; Hominidae. The record is from RNAcentral.
CAUAUGUAACAAACCUGCACGUUGUGCACAUGUACCCUAGAACUUAAAGUAUAAUAAAAAAAAUUCAAGACCUUGUGUGAAACAAAGAUCUCAAAAUCGCAGGUCACAGCCAAAUGUGACCAAGAUGUAUUUAAGUUGGGGCCAUAUCACAUUUUAAGAAAAUGAACCAGCAUAUUAAAUUUAGUAGGUUUCACAUACAAAUCUAGAUCUCCAGUUUCUCUAGAAAAAUUGUGAAGUCUAGCAGCACCAGGCCUGUGUUCUUGAAUAACAGCAAUCAAUUGAACCAGAUGAUCAGCCUAGUGGUUUGCCAUAGAACUCACUAUUCCCAGGGGCAUUUAUCAUACAGCUUGCAUUUUUUUUCAUUCUGAGUUUAAAAUAUAUUUUUUACCUCUUAUUUAUUUUAUGUUAUAUGCUUACACCAUAGUUCCCUAACCAUACAGAAAGUGUGAUACAUACCUACAAUUGAUUUUUCUCCCAUCCACCCUCUUCUGUAGGCAUCUGAGUUGUCAACCACUGCCCUGAAAACAAUUUUUAGUUAAAUGAGGCUGCACCAGUCCCGUGUAACCACUAGAUGGAGUCUAUUUGGCCUUGCUUGUUUCAGCUGCUCCUCAAUGUUUUGAUAACCUGAUAACCACACCAGAGCUGGUCUACAGACAAAAGGUUUACAGAAUCAAUAGUACGAUUUUCUUUUCCAGUAGUUUUCAGGGCUAAAUGUCACUCUGGUAAAAUUUUCCAUUAUAAUUUGUAAAUCUAAAUAUAUAUGUAUGAGAAUAUGCAUGGGAAAACAUAUGAGUUCAUAAUCACUCAAAUAAAGUAUUAUUGGAACUCCAAAACAGAAGGCAUUUGAUACUGCUAUUUCAGGGUUCACCUAGUUUUUAUCAACUUCAGGUGGAAAAUUAUCAAAGAAGAAAACAGGUAUUAUUUUUAUGGAAUGACAUAUUCUUAUCCUACCAUAAAUGUCUGAGUGUAGAGUUACAAUUUCUAUUAUUAGCAAAAGGGAAAAUAUUUUAAUAUAGGUUGUUUAUAAUAAAUAGUUUUUCAACUGAAGAAAAGUUAACCAUGUGCCGUUCACCCAAUUCACAUUCAUCUUUGCACCUUCUUAAAUUUGUUUUUAAAUUUGUCAAUAACUUGAUGGUUUUACACAAGGAUAGACCAGUAAAAUUGAUUUUCAGUCUGACAUCAAGGGCAAUACAGAUCCCAGGGGAGCAAGGCCAGCUAGCAUGAGGAUACUAUGCUACCAAUGUGUGAAUUACUGGGCUGCGAAGGAAGCCUAGAGGAAAUGAAAAAAUGUAUUUAUUUAGAUAUAACAAUGUGUGACUCUUCCCACUAGAAAUUAGAUGAAUCAUUUUGGUACUAAUUUAAAGCCAUUUUAACACAUAAAUGUCCUGUCAUUGGUUCAAUUUAUGUAGUAUCAGCUGUAUGUCCUAAACUGAGGUUAAGUCUACAGGUACAAAAAUAAGAAGGAAAUGGUUGGUCCUUACACCAAAGAAAUUUGGAGUCUGGAAAAAAAAAAUCACAUACAGGAAUAAUAAUUGUAAAGAAAAUGCAACAACUGAAAUUUAUAUAUUAUAAAAUGGUAUGCACAUAUAUUUGGUUUAUAAAUAACAUAAAUAUAACAUAUAAUGCAUCAGACAGAAGUAAAAGCUUUAAAUUUCAGUUAUAAAAUGAAAACAUAUUGCUAUGAAUAAUGAAAACUAAAUUAAUAAAAAAUUUUAUGUUAUCAUUCUGGAAAAUCUUUCAAAAACAGUCUUUGGGGUAGUAUAACUUUGUGACCAGAUGCUCAUAGCUCAAAUAUAAAGAUUAGUCAAAAUUGGCAAAAAGCUAUGUUCUACAGAACAAAUUAUCACUUGCUUCACAAAUAGCAAGUGUGCUCACCUAAGGAAAAUCAUGCUUGUACGAAAAAAGAUAGUUCCCUAGUUUCCAAAUUGUAGUAAAAAUGCAGUGAUCAUGGGCAACUUCAAAACCACAUCAAAGAAAACUGUAUGAAAAAGCAGACAGGGAAUGCAUAUUUUCAAAAUGCCACAAUGUUACAUUGCAAACCCUGGUCUAAACCGUAACAAAAAAUAAAACUAAUUUAAAAACCAAUUAUAAUAUCUGAGGAAACAGAUUACUAAAAGUAUGGAUAAAUGAAUUGUUCUUGAGAAUAUGUAUAAUUUCCAUAGAAAGAGUUAUAUAAAAUACUUGCACCUUACUUUUAAACAUAUUAAUCAUACACAUUUUUGUUUGUUUUACUUGUACACAUACAGGCAGCCAUUGAAAAGAUUAAAAUUUUAACUACAAUGAACAACUUAUUCUUUAGUCCAUGCAUUAACUAUGCAUUCAGGUAAAUAUCUGUGAAAAUAAUCAGUUAUUCUAAAACUGCUUAAGAUCUGGAAUGAUAGUAAAACUAUCUUUUUUGGAAGAGAAUUUUUCAGGAAUAUAAAUAUUUUCAUAUAACAUAAGAAGCUUCUAGAAAUGUAACAUUUUUAGACAGUUACAAUUUAUUAGAUACAGCAUUGAAAUAAUUUUCAUUGAAGAUGAUAUUAUGCUAAGCCAAUUUAUUUUGAGAUAUGUCUCUUAAAACCAGGAAAGUUAGAGAUGUUAUCUAAAAAAGAAAAAUCUUUCUUUUAAAGAUGAAAACAUUACAUUUACACUUACAAGUAAAAUGUAUUAUUAUUUAUCUAAAACACAGAGGAAUACUUAUUUUAUAUUUAAGAAUCGCAUUGUAUUAAAUUUUUCAAGAACAAUUACAAAACGCUAUCUUACAUUCAAAAUAGUUAUCUGAUAGUGGUCUAGAAAACAUUUACUAGCACAUUUCUUCUCAAAUAAUUUUCUUCAAAUGAAAGAGUAAAUACCAUUACUCAGAAUUAUCAUUUUUCUCAUUACCAGUUUCUUCACACAUGGGUUUCAAUCAAUAUUUAGUCAUUUUCAGACUAUGUAUUCACAAGCAAAGUGAAAUAGAUAAUUAUUUAAUCCCUUUAGUUCAAGCUCAAAAUAAUCAGUAUUUCAAUAAUCUUUGCUUUCAAGACUACUGUGAUUUUCAGACUGUAAUUUCACAGAAAAUUAGUUAAAUCCUGUAUUUCCCUAUGUAUAUGUGCUCAGUCUUGAUAAGGAAUAUUGUCUUCCAUUUCCUUGAUACUUAUGUUAAAAUUUACAAGAAAAUCAUCAGAAUUCAUCACAUCUUGUAAAGCAUAUUUUGUUAAUUUUAAAACAGUAUUUCUGUGUAACAGGCCAUUGUGGACAGAGAAAAUAAUUCUACGUCAAGGAGAAGUCCAAGGUCUAAAAGAAUGGAAAAUGCAAUUGAUGCCUGUUAUUAACACACAACAGGACUAGGGUGCAUGCAAUAAAAAGGAAAGAAAAUACACAGACAAAGAAUAAUUAAGGAUUGCAUCCACUUUUUACCAUUUUAACAUCUCUCCACUAUAGACAUUAAUAAUUGGGUAAUUGUAACUUUCUCCUGCUUUUACUCACUGGAGAGUUGCUGCCAAUAUCUCUAAUCAUCACAGCAUGUGCCAUUUGGCUGAAAAAGUGAAGGCAGUUUAGUAUAGAGAGAGAAAACAUUCAGGAUGAAGUGGGUUGUGAGAUGAACUGGAAAGGCAUGAAGAAACAAUAUUAGACAUGAUACAGAGUCUUGUUAUGCCCAUCGAGUUUAGACUAACCCGAAAAACAAUGUGUAAUAAUUGAAAAAUGUUCAUCCUCUUUAAAAGUAAGUGCUUUCCACAUUCUUAAAAUGUAAUGAUUAUUGCAUAAACUAGAAUCAUUAAUGUAAUGAUUAUUGCAUAAACUCGAUUAUUGCGUAAUAGGGGUAAAAAUAAAUAAGCUUAUUUGAGAAAUAUUAAGAAUGGGGCCACAGUUUGGGUUUUAGCAACUGAUUGGAAAGUGAUGCCAUUCACAUUGGACACGUUUAAAUUUGAGACGCUAGUGGAACAACCAUGUAUAGACACCUACUCGGCAAUCCUGCAUAUGAUCUCAACAUCAGAAGAGAGAUGUGGGCUGAUGACACAGAACUGAGAAUAGCCAGCGUUGCCACUGGGAGUAACCAUCACAUAUGUGGCAAAAAAGGCCAUUGGCGCAGAUAUAAUCACCCAGGCGGGAUGUGUAAAAUGGAAAAAGAAGGCAACCUAGAAGCAGGAUUCAACGUAUCAGAUACAGUAAUGAAGACAAUAAGAAAUUGGAUUGAUCCAGGUCUGGAGUUUUGCCACAGAGUGAAAUGGAACAACAAUAUGCAGGAGAAGUGAGGAUACUGAAUUCUACUUGAAAAUUAUACAGAAACAAUUUCUUAGAAUGCUCACAAAAGACCUGAAAACAUGGGGAGGAAGCAGGGCAUUUACAGCUUAUAACUCAUGCAAAACAACAUGCUGCAAUGUUCUGAUGAAAUGCUCCUCUACAGUCGAGGCUCCCAGAAGGCAGAGAGCAUAUUCAUUAACUCAUUCUGCUCAACACUUAGCUCAUGUCCAUGGAGAGAUGUUGAAUAUGAGCUCCUAUUAAAAAGAGGGAAUACAAUCAAUCAUUUGAGAAUGUCCAAAAAGAACUUUUCCUUUCCAUCGAGCCUUACAAAUUAUUCUAAGAUUGUUUCUGUAAAUACCAUGUAAUUGGGAGAGAUACACAGGGAGCGUCAAUUGUGUCUGUAAUGUUUUACUGCUUAUGAUAAAAAGAUCUGAAACUAAUGUGACAAAAUACUAAGAUUUCACAGAAUUCAGUGUUGAGUGUCCUCUAAGUUAUUAUCUUUAUUCUUCAAAUAUUUCAUAAGGAAAAAGAUGGUGGGAACUUACAAUAUUUAUUAUUUUUUUGGAGAAUGGCUGGAUAAUAUACAUUGAAAUCUGCUAAGAAUUUACCAGAAGGAAGGAAAGAGAAACACACACACACACACACACACACACAGAGAGAGAGACAGAGAGAGAGAGAGAGGAAAAAAAAAUAUAUCCUUGGAAUGCCAAGCCCAAAGAUGCAAGUCUAUCUGCCGAUUUAUAAAAGCAAAUAAAGAGAAACCAUCUAAAUGCCAAUAUGAAAGGAUUAGGAAAUAUUUAUAUAUUCACCCAAUAUGUUAAAUAUUCUGUAUACAUUAAAAAUAAUGAAUUAGAAAAAUGGAAAAAACACUUCUUACAAGUGAAAAAAAAUGAGCUACCAAAUAAUAUGGAUGGAUAGUACAAUUCCAUUUCUCUAUAAGAACAGAAAUAGAGAUCCAGGGAGUCAAACAGAUUGACAGACAUAGAUUCUUGAUUUUUUAAAGGCAUAACAUCUACACAUAAAAUAUAAAUAAAUAAGUGCAAAAAC